Molecule: ribosomal RNA, 700 nt
Filed under: Salinarchaeum sp. OnlyC-A6
Lineage: Archaea; Methanobacteriati; Methanobacteriota; Halobacteria; Halobacteriales; Natronoarchaeaceae
Description: bacterial SSU rRNA
Rfam family: Archaeal small subunit ribosomal RNA
Source: RNAcentral
AUUCCGGUUGAUCCUGCCGGAGGCCAUUGCUAUCGGGGUCCGAUUUAGCCAUGCUAGUCGCACGAGUUCAUACUCGUGGCGGAAAGCUCAGUAACACGUGGCCAAACUACCCUGUGGACCAGCAUAACCUCGGGAAACUGAGGCUAAUUCUGGAUAACACCCACAUCCUGGAGUGGAGUGGGUGUGAAACGUUCCGGCGCCACAGGAUGUGGCUGCGGCCGAUUAGGUAGACGGUGGGGUAACGGCCCACCGUGCCCAUAAUCGGUACGGGUGAUGAGAGUCAGAGCCCGGAGACGGUAUCUGAGACAAGAUACCGGGCCCUACGGGGCGCAGCAGGCGCGAAACCUUUACACUGCACGAGAGUGCGAUAGGGGGACCCCGAGUGCGAGGGCAUACAGUCCUCGCUUUUCACCACUGUAAGGUGGUGGUGGAAUAAGUGCUGGGCAAGACCGGUGCCAGCCGCCGCGGUAAUACCGGCAGCACGAGUGAUGGCCGAUUUUAUUGGGCCUAAAGCGUCCGUAGCCGGCCAGACAGGUCCAUCGGGAAAUCUGCACGCCCAACGUGCAGGCGUCCGGUGGAAACCAGCUGGCUUGGGGCCGGAAGAUCCAGGGGGUACGUCCGGGGUAGGAGUGAAAUCCCGUAAUCCCGGACGGACCGCCGGUGGCGAAAGCGCCCUGGAAGGACGGACCCGACGGUGAGG